ACUCAAAUGAAUUGACGGGGGCCCGCACAAGCGGUGGAUUAUGUGGUUUAAUUCGAAGCAACGCGCAGAACCUUACCUGGGCUUGACAUCCCUUGACAACCCUAGAAAUAGGGCUUUGUAGCAAUACACAAGGAGACAGGUGCUGCAUGGCUGUCGUCAGCUCGUGUUGUGAAAUGUUGGGUUAAGUCCCGCAACGAGCGCAACCCCUGGAUUUAGUUGCCAGCAUUAAGUUGGGCACUCUAAAUUAACUGCCAGCGUUAAGCUGGAGGAAGGUGGGGAUGACGUCAAGUCCUCAUGGCCCUUACGCCCAGGGCUACACACGUAAUACAAUGGAUAGGACAAAGGGUUGCGAACCUGCAAAGGGGAGCUAAUCUCAAAAACCUAUCCUCAGUUCGGAUUGGGGGCUGCAAUUCGCCCCCAUGAAGGCGGAAUCGCUAGUAAUCGUGGAUCAGAACGCCACGGUGAAUACGUUCCCGGGCCUUGUACACACCGCCCGU
This 497-nucleotide ribosomal RNA is filed under the name uncultured bacterium. RNAcentral describes it as "partial 16S ribosomal RNA". It matches the Rfam family "Bacterial small subunit ribosomal RNA", at positions 899 to 1397 of the family's 1533-position model. The record is from RNAcentral.